AAUAACAAUGCAUACUAGAGUGGUGAACACGCCCAAUCUUGUCUGAUCUCUGAAGCUAAUGAGGGUCAGCCAUGGUUAGUACUUCGAUGGAAGACUGCCUGGGAAUCCCAGGCGCUGUAGGUU
Amphilophus citrinellus (Midas cichlid) is the source of this 123-nucleotide ribosomal RNA. NCBI's taxonomy places the organism in Eukaryota, Metazoa, Chordata, Actinopteri, Cichliformes, Cichlidae. The record is from Ensembl.